GCAGAAGCUGCGGGGCAGCGACUACCCCCUGAUCGCCCGUGUGCUGCAGGGCCCCUGUGAACAGGUCUCCAAGGUUUUCCUCAUGGAGAAGGACCAGGUGGAGGAGGUCACCUAUGACGUCGCUCAGUACAUCAAGUUUGAGAUGCCCAUCCUCAGGAGCUUCAUCCAGAAGCUGGAGGAGGAGGAGGAUCGUGAAGUGAAGAAGCUGAUGCAGAAAUACACCAUCCUCCGGGUGAUGAUCAAGCAGAGGCUGGAGGAGAUCUCGGAAGGUCCGACUGCGAUGUGAGACCCUUCAGCAGAGCCAUGUGCCUGUAGGAUGUACUGUACCAAAUCCCAAAGCCCCAGCAUUCCCAGCACAUUCCCAGCGUCCGCCUGGAUCGCUCCAGCUCUGAGCCAGCCCAUCCUCCCGUGCCUUCACCUGCGCAGCGUCCCCGGGAGGUUCCUCCUCGGCACCUGGGGCUCUUCCCAGCAAGGCUCUGGCUGGUGGCAGCUUCAGCCAAAACCUCAAAUCCCUGGAAAACACAGGGAAAAACAGGGGGAAAAAAAAAAAAAGAAGAGAGAGAGAGAGGAAAUCCAUGAGCAGCACAGUGAGGGCUACAGGUGUUCCAGAGCAGGAAUUUGGGGCCGAGUCUGGGGACACCCACACAGAGGACCCGCUGCUCGGUGGCAGGAGAGCACCAACAGUUAUAAUUCCUCUUUUUUUUUUUCUUUUUUUUUUUUUUUCCCCUUAAGAAAAGCACAUUUCUAUUGCAAUAAUUCGCGGGUGAUGGGAAGUUUUCGUAAAUCCAAAGUGUUGACUGAGAUUUUGGGGGGGUUUAACCCUGACCUGGUGGAUUUACAGCACAGGAGUAAAUGGCAUUUUUCCGUGUGUUCCCCAAACCUGCAUCUGGUGGCGUCACCCCCUCCCUCCCCCUUUUCUAAUUUGCACUAAUAUUAGGGAUUUUUAAGGAAAUCAUGAUGUCAAACCUCUCUGGGUAGCUGUAAAUGCCAAAUAGCACUCGCAGGGAUAGUUGGGGGCAUCUCAAGGGAUGCUGGAUGGAAAGGGAGGGAGACAGGAGGAGGAGGAGGAGGAGGCAGAAAUAAAGAGGAUUUUAUUUUCCAAAUCCAUCUUCCAGUGGUGCCAGCACAUUAUCCUGGUGAAACCAGGCUGGCACUGUUACCACCACCACCUGGAAAAACCUCUUUCCUCCCAGGCUAAACCAGCAAUAUCAAUUUUAUACCUCGAUGUGAACUAAGACUCUGACUUUCUCCCUCCCUUUGAGUUUUUGCAAUGUAUCUUUGUAAUUUUUUUUUUUUUUAAGUGUUAAUGGUACCUUUUCCACCUCUAACACGUGUUCAGGAAAGUGUUGUACAGCGAGAGGAGCCUUUUAUGUGUUUGAAGGAUGAUUGUGGCAUUGCUGCGUGGAUUAACAAGAAAAUAAAAUAUGUAGCAACUUAAUACAGAAUAAAA
Long non-coding RNA from Corapipo altera (White-ruffed manakin), 1450 nucleotides. RefSeq lists it as uncharacterized. The record is from RefSeq and is a predicted model, not a curated record. The transcript is spliced from 3 exons. Lineage: Eukaryota; Metazoa; Chordata; Aves; Passeriformes; Pipridae.